RNAcentral lists this ribosomal RNA (253 nucleotides) under uncultured bacterium. RNAcentral's name for it is "partial 16S ribosomal RNA". It matches the Rfam family "Bacterial small subunit ribosomal RNA", at positions 524 to 776 of the family's 1533-position model. The record is from RNAcentral.
UACGGGGGGGGCAAGCGUUGUUCGGAAUUACUGGGCGUAAAGGGCUCGUAGGCGGCCAACUAAGUCAGACGUGAAAUCCCUCGGCUUAACCUGGGAACUGCGUCUGAUACUGGAAGGCUUGAGUAUGGGAGAGGGAUGUAGAAUUCCAGGUGUAGCGGUGAAAUGCGUAGAUAUCUGGAGGAAUACCGGUGGCGAAGGCGGCAUCCUGGACCAUUACUGACGCUGAGGCGCGAAAGCUAGGGGAGCAAACGGG